UAAAGCGUGCGCAGGCGGUUUUGUAAGACUGUCGUGAAAUCCCCGGGCUCAACCUGGGAAUGGCGAUGGUGACUGCAAGGCUAGAGUUUGGCAGAGGGGGUAGAAUUCCACGUGUAGCAGUGAAAUGCGUAGAUAUGCGGAGGAACACCGAUGGCGAAGGCAAUCCCCUGGACCUGUACUGACGCUCAUGCACGAAAGCGUGGGGAGCAAACAGGAUUAGAUACCCGUGU
Molecule: ribosomal RNA, 230 nt
Filed under: uncultured bacterium
Lineage: Bacteria
Description: partial 16S ribosomal RNA
Rfam family: Bacterial small subunit ribosomal RNA
Source: RNAcentral